GAAUUUUCCUCAACUGUGACUGAGAUGAGCUCAGAAAAAGAUGUGAACAUUCAAGGUCCAGAUAAUCUAACUGCUGUGAAGUCUAUAAGAAAAUGCAUAAUCUUAAGCCCUGCAAAAGCCCAUAGGAGUUCUAUGGAGCAGGAGAAUCAUGUAGCAAUAAACUGAAAGGUUUGAAGAUUCUGGUGACACCUGACGUGACCUGGAACCGGCACAGAACUUACAGAAGGAUUCUUAAUUGACCUAACAAUUCCAAAAUCAUGGAUUCGUCUUUCAUUAUCUUAUCAAUAAUUUAUUUCUCAAGUAAAUGUUUCGAAGGCCCAAAAUAUACCCACACAAGCUAGGCAAGACAACGGUUAUUUUUGUGGCUUGAAAUUUA
RNAcentral lists this unclassified non-coding RNA (376 nucleotides) under Hevea brasiliensis (rubber tree). Lineage: Eukaryota; Viridiplantae; Streptophyta; Magnoliopsida; Malpighiales; Euphorbiaceae. The record is from RNAcentral.